CGGGAUUUACAAUCUGUUUGAGGGAUGGCGUUACAAAUGGAAACAAAUGUGUGUCUUUUAUGGGUAAUAUGUGGGAAUCCAGCUGUCCAUGGCUUGGGGACUCUGCAGGUGUGGAUUGCCUGGGGACAGUCACGGGGUGGUGAAUGCCUGGCACAGACUCUCCUCUUCCUGCUGUUCCGUGCUGAAGAAAGCCCAGUGUGAGCAGCGGCUUCACGGAUUCCUUCACAUGUUUCUGCAGUGUGUGCUCAGCCUUGUGUGCACACUCAGAUCGCAUCGCUCUGUUCUGAAUCUUCCCCCCAGAUUGUCCAAACAAGCCCGAGCAGACUGGCAGGCGCCAGCGCGGUGACGUCACCCAUUCAUCCGAGCCUUGACGCCUGUCAGCCUGGCGCCGCUCGGGCGGUCUCCAUGGAGACGUCAAACAAGAGAGCUCGCACUGCACUCCUCCAUUCACCUGCGUGUCGCGCGGAACACUGAGAACAAACCGGCUCCGGAGCUUUGUCGUUCAUUUAUCACCUUAAAGCAGCGGGAUGAGAUUACCGCCCAGCGCACCUGCAGAGCCGCCUCUGUCAGCCGGCUGACAGAGAGACAGAGGAGGAGGAAGGCUUGGCAUUAUGUUGUUACCGCAUUUUAACACAAAAUAACUGCUGCAUUCCUCCACACAGCCCUCUUUGACUACUGUAUGCCCCUGUGGUUACUAUAAAACUCGAUUUCAUGCA
Molecule: long non-coding RNA, 716 nt
Organism: Siniperca chuatsi (mandarin fish)
Lineage: Eukaryota; Metazoa; Chordata; Actinopteri; Centrarchiformes; Sinipercidae
Exons: 2
Source: RefSeq, a predicted model, not a curated record